UACAGAGGUCUCAAGCGUUGUUCGGAUUCAUUGGGCGUAAAGGGUGCGUAGGCGGCGCGGUAAGUCGGGUGUGAAAUUUCGAGGCUUAACUUCGAAACUGCAUUCGAUACUGCCGUGCUAGAGGACUGGAGAGGAGACUGGAAUUUACGGUGUAGCGGUGAAAUGCGUAGAUAUCGUAAGGAAGACCAGUGGCGAAGGCGGGUCUCUGGACAGUUCCUGACGCUGAGGCGCGAAAGCCAGGGGAGCGAACGGG
This 253-nucleotide ribosomal RNA is filed under the name uncultured bacterium. RNAcentral's name for it is "partial 16S ribosomal RNA". It matches the Rfam family "Bacterial small subunit ribosomal RNA", at positions 524 to 776 of the family's 1533-position model. The record is from RNAcentral.